Molecule: ribosomal RNA, 433 nt
Filed under: uncultured bacterium
Lineage: Bacteria
Description: bacterial SSU rRNA
Rfam family: Bacterial small subunit ribosomal RNA
Source: RNAcentral
GUGAACGCUGGCGGCAGGCCUAACACAUGCAAGUCGAGCGCCCGUAGCAAUACGGGAGCGGCAGACGGGUGAGUAACACGUGGGAACGUACCCUUCGGUUCGGAAUAACCCAGGGAAACUUGGAUUAAUACUGGAUACGCCCGUAAGGAGAAAGAUUUAUCGUCGAAGGAUCGGCCCGCGUCCGAUUAGCUUGUUGGUGGGGUAAUGGCCCACCAAGGCUACGAUCGGUAGCUGGUCUGAGAGGAUGAUCAGCCACACUGGGACUGAGACACGGCCCAGACUCCUACGGGAGGCAGCAGUGGGGAAUAUUGGACAAUGGGCGCAAGCCUGAUCCAGCCAUGCCGCGUGAGUGAUGAAGGCCCUAGGGUUGUAAAGCUCUUUCGGCGGGGAAGAUAAUGACGGUACCCGCAGAAGAAGCCCCGGCUAACUUCGU